UAACAAUGUCCAAUGAGGUUAGUUCUUGUUUUUCUAAAACAUUUGUAAUCCACCGUUGUUUACGAGCGAAAUGACGUAUUACCUAUAACUAAGCGAAAUGACAUAUUACCGUACCUUGCAACGUACGCCAACGUAACGUAUAAACAAACACGUUUUAGAUCGCGCUCUAACCUUAAUUGACGGAUUUUCCCGCGGAGUUAGCACAUUGAUCGUCUUUGUCCUUCUGAAAUAACUUCAAUCAGCGCUUGAAAAAGCUUGAUAUGACGUUUAAAUAUACAAACGUAAACGUGAUAUCGAUAAUACCGAAAAAUAUCGAUAUUCCGAUAUAUUGAAAAUUCCAAUAUCGAGUAAUCGGUAUUUUGAUAAAAAAAGAUAGUUAUCGGUAUAUCGAUAUACCGCAACAGCCUAAAUUUGGAGGUCACCGAUGUCUUUUACAAGUUAAAUUAAUUAAAUUCAACCACCCACAAGUUCAGCGAAUCUACCAGCAUUUUGCCAAUGUGGUCAUAGUUAAUAGAGAUGUGGCAUAUAGCUAAAAAGAUUCGUGCAAAAUUUUGGCAAGUUCAUGGUAUAGUUCGGUUUUAAAUUUUUUUGCGAUUUACUGACGCACGACCCACGACGCACGACCCACCCACGCCAAAUAGACAAUCUCACAUAGACAUACGUCACAUACCUUUCGCCGAACAUAACUUCUCUUUCUCGAUGUGUCUUUCUUACUACAUUUCAAAAACUCAUUAAUAAUUCAUGAGGAAAACACAAAGAGAAAUCAUAAGCGUGGCGUGUCUUUAUAUGUGAUAAAACACGCUUCAAAUUUCAACUUGUAUUUUCUCAGCUAAUACAAAGUUAAUAUUUUGGAAAAUUAUUUCGCCAAUGCCGUGAUCUAACUGAGGCCCGUUUCAUACGUCGCGCUAUCGUCGAAUUUAAUUCAGACGAAUUUAAUUGAACGAAUUAAAUGCGACGGUAGUGCAUCGUAUGAAACGAAUUAAAUUCGUCUGAUGAAUUAAAUUCGUCCAAGACGUUGUAUCCGUCAUGGUCAGACGGAUACAACAUACAACGUCUGUAGCGCGUCUUCGUUUCAUACGUGUUAUCGUCGUGUCGAAUUAAAUGCAUAAAUUAUGUUAAAUCUGUUUCUCUCUUUCUGGUCUCGUGGUUUUUUACUUCUGGGUAAUCCAUGAUCGCUAGACAUGAAAUGAAUUCGUCUGAAUUAAAUUCGUCGUUUGAAACGAAACCAUUUUAGGCCUGUUUCAUACGUCGAAUUUAAUUCAGACGAAUUUAAUUCGUUAUUAAAUUCGUCAAUUGGUCGACAC
Paramuricea clavata is the source of this 1304-nucleotide non-coding RNA. The record is from the annotation of a GenBank genome assembly. Lineage: Eukaryota; Metazoa; Cnidaria; Anthozoa; Malacalcyonacea; Plexauridae.